UACGAAGGGGGCGAGCGUUAUUCGGAAUCACUGGGCGUAAAGCGUGCGUAGCCGGUUUCGUAAGUCGGGUGUGAAAUCCCCGGGCUCAACCUGGGAAUGGCGAUGAAGACUGCAAGGCUAGAAUCUGGCAGAGGGGGGUAGAAUUCCACGUGUAGCAGUGAAAUGCGUAGAGAUGUGGAGGAACACCGAUGGCGAAGGCAGCCCCCUGGGUCAAGAUUGACGCUCAUGCACGAAAGCGUGGGGAGCAAACAGG
RNAcentral lists this ribosomal RNA (253 nucleotides) under uncultured bacterium. Its description in RNAcentral is "partial 16S ribosomal RNA". It matches the Rfam family "Bacterial small subunit ribosomal RNA", at positions 524 to 776 of the family's 1533-position model. The record is from RNAcentral.